AUGAACGCUGGCGGCGUGCCUAAUACAUGCAAGUCGAGCGAACAGACGAGGAGCUUGCUCCUCUGACGUUAGCGGCGGACGGGUGAGUAACACGUGGAUAACCUACCUAUAAGACUGGGAUAACUUCGGGAAACCGGAGCUAAUACCGGAUAAUAUAUUGAACCGCAUGGUUCAAUAGUGAAAGACGGUUUUGCUGUCACUUAUAGAUGGAUCCGCGCCGCAUUAGCUAGUUGGUAAGGUAGCGGCUUACCAAGGCAACGAUGCGUAGCCGACCUGAGAGGGUGAUCGGCCACACUGGAACUGAGACACGGUCCAGACUCCUACGGGAGGCAGCAGUAGGGAAUCUUCCGCAAUGGGCGAAAGCCUGACGGAGCAACGCCGCGUGAGUGAUGAAGGUCUUCGGAUCGUAAAACUCUGUUAUUAGGGAAGAACAAAUGUGUAAGUAACUAUGCACGUCUUGACGGUACCUAAUCAGAAAGCCACGGCUAACUACGUG
RNAcentral lists this ribosomal RNA (496 nucleotides) under uncultured bacterium. Its description in RNAcentral is "partial 16S ribosomal RNA". It matches the Rfam family "Bacterial small subunit ribosomal RNA", at positions 29 to 507 of the family's 1533-position model. The record is from RNAcentral.